ACACGAAAGGUCUCAUAGCACCGAUAAUCUCUCAAACUCGGUUGGGAUGUUGCAGCACCGAGUUCUCUCUCAAACACCAAACUAGGUUGUUAUCUGCACCCUAUUGUUUCGCACAUGUUUCGAUUCCAUUCUCACCGAUAACACACGAAAGGUCUCAUAGCUCCGAUUUUCUCUCAAACUCGGUUGGAGUGUUGCAGCACCGAGUUCUCUCUCAAACACGAAACUAGGCUGUUAUCUGCACCCUAUUGUUUCGCACAUGUUUCGAUUCCAUCACCACCGAUAAGAUUGCAAUCCACCCCGAUUCGUUAGGCACAGGUUUGAUAUGGAAGACAGUGGCUUCCAAUUAUUCAAAAGUAACGAUGUCGACACAAACCUAAGUGAAGAUUUGGAUGAGCAUAUGGAAGAUGAAUUGACUGAGAGUAUUGGAGACAUGUUUGAUAUGGAAGACAGUGGUUUACAAGAUCAUUGCAAAAACUCCGUUAGUGAAGAUUUGAAUGACCAUAUGGAAGACACAAACGGUACACGAGACGAAGAAUUUGAUGAUCGUACACUCUUCAAAGGCAAGCCGUAUAAGGACUUGACAUUAGAGGAUCUUCGUGGUGUUGAGUUCAAGAGUGUGGAAGACGUGGACAGAUUCUACUCCUAUUAUUCAUUGGCAAUGGGUUUCAGCAUAAGGAAGUUUAAACUUGACAAGAACCGUUCUAGAACACAAUUGAACAGAAGAGUGCUGGUUUGCUCAAAACAAGUGCCGUAGUUGCGAGUGUCGAAGGAAUGCACGUCACAAGGACUGAUCUUCAAUGCCUUGGUCCAAGGGAGCUUGUCUGCAGCCUGGUUAUAAAUAUAUUUGUGGAGUACCUUAACGAAAUAGGAAAGGAGGAUUGGUAUGUCCCAACAUACUUCGGGAGAAACUCUAUAAAAAUGGGAGACAACAUGUCAACUCAAGAAUGGAUUCAACAGACUAAAAGACUAAGUAGGCUUGACAGGUUCAUUGGCCAAUUUGCCAAAUGCAG
This is a long non-coding RNA of Rosa rugosa (rugosa rose), 1010 nucleotides long. RefSeq lists it as uncharacterized. The record is from RefSeq and is a predicted model, not a curated record. NCBI's taxonomy places the organism in Eukaryota, Viridiplantae, Streptophyta, Magnoliopsida, Rosales, Rosaceae. The transcript is spliced from 6 exons.